This is an RNA transcript of Orussus abietinus, 4127 nucleotides long. It is a transcript of the gene named adrenodoxin-like protein, mitochondrial, with no coding region annotated. The transcript is spliced from 5 exons. Lineage: Eukaryota; Metazoa; Arthropoda; Insecta; Hymenoptera; Orussidae. The record is from RefSeq and is a predicted model, not a curated record.
CUGGCAGAAUCAGACGCAAGCAGACGUUUCGCCUCUUUGUAUUUAGUUAACCUAAGUUGCAGGUUGGUUAAUAAGUUUCUAUUGUACGCGAUUGUGAGUAAAAUUGAUGGAUUUAGCUUUACAUCCUACGUACAUGUAAUUAUUAUUUUAACCAUUCCUAAAAAUUAAUAAGAGAUGACAUUUGCACUGAGGCCGUUACUCAUUAACUGUAUAACGAGACGAAAUCAUGGUCUACGAAAUAAUUUAACAAAAACAAGCCUUCAACUGCAUACAUCCAAAGGACUUCUUCAUGGGGAGUAUGAAUUCCAGGAUCCAAAAUCAGAAGAUGAAGUGGUAAAUGUAAUUUUUAUAGACAAAAAUGGAAGCAGAAUACCUAUUAAAGGUAAAGUUGGAGACAAUGUAUUAUAUUUAGCACACAGGUAUAAUAUCGAGAUGGAAGGAGCGUGUGAAGCUUCCCUUGCUUGUACUACUUGUCAUGUCUAUGUUCAUCAUGAUUAUGUGGAUAAAUUACCAGUUGCUGAAGAGAAAGAAGAAGAUCUUUUGGAUCUAGCUCCCUUUUUAAAGGAAAAUUCUCGAUUAGGAUGUCAAAUUAUAUUAACAAAAGAAUUAGAAGGUAUCGAAUUAGAGUUACCAAAAGCUACAAGGAAUUUCUACGUUGAUGGGCAUACACCCAGUGCGCACUAACAUCAUGCGAUGCAAACUUAGAUUUUUCACCCUGAGACCAGUGCUAUGUAAAUAAUAUUACUGAUAUAAGAUUUAAACAUUUAUGAUAUAAUGAAUUGGUGAAUUAAAAUCUUACUCGUUGAUCUCGCAGCAUUUACAACAUGCAUGGAAAACCCUGCAAAAUGGAUUCAACAACCGAAGUCGUCCCACUUUAGUAUGACCACUGACGCGAUUAAAAUUAUUGAUAAGAACGACAGGGCACCUCAGUGAACCUCCUUCAAUUGAGCAUUCUCUCACACUCUUAAUACACGUACGCAAUUUUGACCUUUCGUUUGUACAUGUAUAUUCAUUCUCCUCUCUCUCCCGAUAAUUAUCGUCGCUAUCAUUGUUACACGUUACUUUAUAAUAACCUCCAUUUUAUCAUGGAUCAAUGUAAUUAUAGACACGAUAUAAUUCUCAACACAUUUACAUCUUGCAUUCAAACUCUAUUAACGGCAGCAACUUAAUUACAAUUUUCUUCGUCUACUGAAAUAUACACAUCCACUCGGCAUUGUACCUUUUAAGAUGAUUACAUGCAUAUCCUCAUUUGGUAUGAGUCAUCGUAACUGACUUAUUGGGAAAAUAGCUUUUGUACUUAUUUCUAACUAAAAGUGUCACAAUAUUAUAGAUUAUUGUACAUACAAUGUGUACGUUGGAUAUAUCGAUGUAAUACUUCAAAUUAGUAAAAUUGUGGUAAUUACACGAACGACUAAAUUAAAUGAUAACCAUGGCAGUAAACAACGUCAUAUUAUGUACACUUUGAGAGACGCUCGAUCUUCACAAUUUUCAACGAUUUGUGACUUUGAAUCAUGUCAUAGAGCUUCCUACCAAAAGCGUUUACAAACUUCUCGCGGAAUCUUUAAUAAUUUAAAUGUAAUACUACAAUUAAUGGCGCAAUGAUGAAGCACAAUUAAAUGACACUGGAUGUUUUCAAUCGGUUCUAACUUUGAUCCAGAUUCAUCAAAUCGUAACAGUAGAAUGUUCGAAGCUCUUUGGAGGGUCGCAUACUAAACUACAAUUGAAACGAACGCUUGAAGGAGUACUGGCAUUAGAAGAAUAGAAUAUAACUUAGGAUGCCGCAUAUUGUUUCUUUCCCUACACGUUGUUAUUAUUUUUAUCUGAAACUCGACUUUCCGAAGAGGAAAUUCUUCGAUCAUGUACACGUUAAAACUCUCUCGUGCGCGCGUUUACUUGUACAAGAGCGUACAAAACAAUAUUAUGUCUAUGGCUACUCUAAGGAGAAAACAAAAAAAAAACUACAAGUGUACUCCUCUGAGACCUUAGGAACACACCGUCACCUUUUGAAUAUACAAAACCGUAAAAAAGUCAAUACCAACGAAUACAUUAUUAUCCGCUUGAAAAAGCACCUUUCUUGUACAUUUUACUCUCCCCUUGUAUAGAUCGUUAUCGAGAUUAUGUAUUCGUAAUUAAAGAAGCUCGUGCUUUAAGAGACAUUAUUGAAUAUAUUAUUUCCAUAAUUUACACGAAAUCCUUCAAUAAGUUUCCAUAAUUUACACGAAAUCCUUCAAUAAGUACAUGUUGUUUAACUGUCGAGAACAGAAUAGAUUUCACAGUUCUUAACUUCCUCUCCAUUUAUCGCGAAAGGAAGAGAAAAGAAAUGCAUUAAAUUGAGAUGCAUCCGCAACGCUAUUUUCAAUCAUUUUCACAUCUUAUCCCGAUCGAUUCCAUUCCUCUAUUAUCAUCCAUUACGAAUCUAUCCCGACAAAAUUCUCUCCAGCUUGCACCAUGUGGGAACUAAUUACUAAAGCAACGAAAUAAUGAUCACAGGAACAGCGUAAUGCUAGAUUUCCUAUUUUGACAUUAAGUAAAACGCAUGAACACUCGUUUCAUCACGAGACAAAGAGUAACAUUACUUCCGUCUUUGAUCCAGCAUAAUUGCGGAUCUAAUCAACAAAUCAAGUACAGAAAUUAAGCGACAAAGGACUAUCUUAACUGACAAAUAAUUAUAACGAUAUUACAUCGAUUGUUGGGUAUUACUGAUUACCGCAAAUUUAGAUACAUUAAGAUAAUGUACAAUAAAACGAUGCUAAUAAGAUUCUAUUGCAAGAGAACACGAUAAGGAUAAACGUUUUGUUUGUUUGUUUUUUUUUCUUUCAUCAUCAUUAGACAUCUAUAAGAAAGAAAGUUACACAGAAGAUGCACAUGUAACAACGAAGAAAGAAUGUAAAAUCCCAUUGAUAUAAUCGCUUUAACACAUAUGAGCAUAAGCUAUUAUAACACAAACCAAGAGAUUUCAUUGAAAUUCGUAACAUCCACACCUACGUCAAAAAGAAUAUUUAUACUCGUCAAUUCAAAUGGUACUCCACACGUGAGGACUAAGAAGACAUCUAUACAAAGGGAAUCGAAUAUGUACCUAUUUAUGUAUAACAAUUCGUUUCGCCUCGAUUAGGGAUCGUAAAAAAAUAAUUAGUCUCAAGUAAGACACGAAAUGCUUUUGGUGUAAAUACGAGUAAUCGUUUAAAUAAAACAAAUGCGUUACAGGUUUUUCUGUGAAAGAAGUCAGCACAGAUUCGAGGUUGCAGGCUCUAAAAAAAUCUAGAAGAAGCUAAUCUAAGGACCCGUAGCAGGUACAUUUGCAGUCUGUAAUUUCAUUGAGGAUAUCGAGCCCUUAGAUAUGAUACCUCCGAUACGUGUCCAGCGCAGUGAACAGCAAUUCCCCUUAUAAAAAGGAAAGAUCAAUGAAAAAGAGAGAGAGAAAAAAAAAGAAAGAUACAGAAUUACUCUCAACGAAUAAUUGCAUUAUACAUACACUUUCCGUCCAAUAGUGCGAGUGUCGCAGACUUGCAUUAAACGCGAAGAAACAGUAAAAAAGGAUUCGAUACCAGGGCUCGAAAGAAUGCGCGUUCGUAGCUUUUUAUUUUCACGAGAUUGAGCCUAUCACCGUGUUCUUUAAAUAAUUCCAUUUUCCCCGAUUUGCAUCGAUAGGUAAAAAGUCGACUGAAUAGGACAUACUCGUACAGCACAAAGCCAGAAAGCAGCCAUUCAAAUAAUACAUACAAGACAUUUUACAAGUACUUACGAUGUUACUAUUCAUUAUAUAGGAGCACAAGAGGGCUUCGAUAGAAAGCCGAACAUAUUUUCUUUUUUAAAUGAAAUCGUCAAGGAGAUAUCCAGAAAUUAAUAAAUUAAAAUACGCAUUCCUUCUUGGGGAAGGAAAAAUAAAAAAAUUCAGUAGAGGGAAUGUACAUAAUCAAGGGAACUAGUACAUUACAGGUUCUGUUUGAAAUAAAAGUGAAAUGGAAUGAAAGAAAUUAACACGAAGUACACAAGAUUACGAGUAAGUUUCAAACAGUCGGUAGAAAUGUGGAUAAAGCUGAGAUUUUGUCAAAAGCUGAAAAAGUGCCGUUCCAGGUAAUGAUGCUAAGGGAACAUUUACAUUUGAAAUACUUGGUUAUUCUUUUUAA